GGACAAUAUCAGCCCUCCACAGGCACUCAAGGCCUGUGGCUAACCUCUGUCCAACCUCACCGGAAGCUCUUCAUCCACGACCUUCCCCCCACCCCUCCCUCGUAUCGGUCCCUGUCACAAAGACUUCACACCUCCAGGCCCUCACCCCUCUCGCUCGCAGUUCUCAGAUAACUACCUCCUCAGAGAAGCCUCUCCUGACCCUCCUGAUCGAAAUCGGUGACCCCACACCCCCACCCGCCUUCCCUCCACGGCCCCUGAACAUUUCCACCGUGAGACUCACCUCGACCAGAAUGAUUUGGUCAGCCUAUCGGCUUCCUUAUUUAUAGUCCGUCCCCCCCGCUAGAAGGAGAGCCCGCGUGGACACGGAGGCUGUCCGUCUUACUCACAGCUGUAUCCUUAGGACUUCAACAGCUCUGGUGCCCAGCAGGAGACUUGUCAGUGGAGUGUAUGAAUGGAGUGUAUGGAGCCGGACGGUGGAAUCCACGCAUGAAGACAAAGUCCGGCACAUCGUGGGGGCAAAGAGGGGGAACCUAGCGCCUGCCAGAUCCUGUGGGCGUUCUGCACAUAGCAGGGCAGAUACAUCCUGUGUUCGCACCACGGAAGCCACAGCCAGAAAAGCAAACCCCAACUAUCCAGCCCAAAGCCUUUUAGAUGGUAACCCACUUCAAAGGCGCCAAGCCAAAGAAACCACCCCCAGAGUAUGUGUUGCCUCCCUUUAAGGAGGGAGAGAUCCUUCUGGACUUCAUCGAGUUUCCCUUUUGGAAGGGGCUGCUAGGGAGCUCAGAGACACCUUGGAGCCUCGACCACAGGUUUUCCUCCUGCAGUGUGAGUGUCCGUUAUGCAAACUGGAUAUAACCCAGUGGAUAAUUCAUGGUAUACAAUUGGCUCCCCAGAGUCCCCUGGGGAACCAAAGGGGCCAUUAGGUGAAAGGCUUUGAAGUUGUAACAUUUGCUUUGAGACUUUAUCAUAACACUGGCUGGAAAAGAGGAUAAAGGAGAUAAAAAAAAAAAACAUCUGUAAGAUGUUUAGUACUAAAGUCAGAGCUGGUGGC
Molecule: long non-coding RNA, 1051 nt
Organism: Felis catus (domestic cat)
Lineage: Eukaryota; Metazoa; Chordata; Mammalia; Carnivora; Felidae
Exons: 2
Source: RefSeq, a predicted model, not a curated record